UUGAAACACCGGUUCUCGUUCGAUCACUGAAGUUAAGCAACGUCGUACCUGGACAGUAACUAAAUGGGUGACCGCUUGUGAAUACCAG
Molecule: non-coding RNA, 88 nt
Organism: Acanthosepion pharaonis
Lineage: Eukaryota; Metazoa; Mollusca; Cephalopoda; Sepiida; Sepiidae
Source: the annotation of a GenBank genome assembly